Molecule: long non-coding RNA, 480 nt
Organism: Gossypium raimondii (Peruvian cotton)
Lineage: Eukaryota; Viridiplantae; Streptophyta; Magnoliopsida; Malvales; Malvaceae
Exons: 3
Source: RefSeq, a predicted model, not a curated record
GACGAAAUCAGCAAAGGGGGAAGCCAUAGUUAGGGUUUUCAAGCUUCCAAGCUCCAUAAUCAAGAAGAACGAAACUCGAGGUUAGACAAAGGGAAGAAUAAAGUUGAAGACUAAGUUGGUGAAUUGGACUAUAUUUGAUACCGAGUAUUGCAAGCUACUUCAAGAAUCCUAAAGAAGUCGGAGAUCGUCCACACUAUCAACCACAACUGCUCGGUAUUUUAUGAUGAAAUACGUUGAAGUUAUGGCAUGUAUAGGGAUUUAGUUAUUUUGCAUGUUUGUAAUUAUGAUUGUGCUAACAAAUGCUGUGUAAGCAUUUGAUGAUGUAUGGUCAUUAAAAUGGUUAAGUAUGAAGGUGUUUGUUGUUAUGAAAGAUUAGGUGAUAAAUUAUGCAUGGAAAUCAUGAAAGGAUAAAAUUUUGCAAAGAAACAGAAUUCAGGCAGCACAGUGACGUGAAUUUGAAAAAUCACCUAGGAUGGUAUA